Long non-coding RNA from Pezoporus flaviventris, 1449 nucleotides. RefSeq lists it as uncharacterized. The record is from RefSeq and is a predicted model, not a curated record. Lineage: Eukaryota; Metazoa; Chordata; Aves; Psittaciformes; Psittacidae. The transcript has 2 exons.
CCCCCUUUGCCUAUACAAAGGUUGCAAUAAAAUGCAUUACAGUAGUAUUUCAUUUACAAAGCAAAUGACAUUAAAACUUGUUUCUUAACCCAUUGGAUUGUACUUUAGUAAAACAAUGUCCUUUCAUGGAGGUGCAGCACAGAUUCCAAGAGCUGCCUGGAUGUGGAAAAUGAUCACUCUUUCGAAGCAGUCCUGCCUCGGAAGGUUGAGUUGAAUUGCUUCAUGAUGCUGUGUCAAUUCCUCUUUGGAAGGAUCUCAUCCUCAGGUUUGGCAAUUAGGAUAGUAUGUUAAACAUUCUCAAGGCUGGAUUGGGCAUACCCCAUCUUCUGGACCUUCAGACCAAGCACUUUGCUGGCAGCCGUGUCCCUUGGGUAAAUGGGAUUCUGCAAAAUGACAGUGCAGCUUGUGUGGGCAGGGGACAGGCCACGUCCCAAAGUAAGUAAUUAAUUCCCUCAGGGCCUCAUGGCUGUCACAAACAUCACCAUCUUCUGCUUCCUGUGCUAGAUGCAAUUCCUAGAGCUUGUGUUCUUGGAUACAAAGGGAGUACUAAUAGUACCUGCCAAGACAUGCCGUCUUUCCCUUGGAAAAAAAAAAAAGAUGAGAAAACAAACUACAUAUGAUAGAUGUUAGUCAUGUUGCUUAUUGCACUGUUGGCAUAAUCUCCCCCUGGGGCUCCUAUACUCACAUCCAGGAUUUGGGGAUGAGUCAGGUGUAUUGCAUAUGUACUUAUGGAUGAUCUGAGCAUACACAGAACAUAAUGGGAAUUUCAUGAUGUCCCAACUUGCUUUUGCUUCCCUCUGUGCCACAAGAUGUCUGUAAAUCCUAGACAGAGUUCUUCUCUGAGACAAGGUUGCUGGAUGGAAAAAAACAGUAUACCUCCAAGGAACUGCAUGUGUGGGAGCAUCAGUCAGUUUGCUAUAAUUGAAUACACUAAUGAUGCUAAAUCUUAUGACAUUACUGCUGGCCAUGUGACCUUGGUGGUGAUUUCCUGAAACCUCUAGAUUCUGGAGUCAUGUUAACACUCAAGGAUCUCUAUUAAACAAAGAUUGCAGCCUCCACAUUUGUAAGAUAAAGCUGUUUCCUGUGAUUCCGCAGCAUAUCAAAAAGUGAAGGCAAGUAAGAACACACUGAACCUGUAUUUUGAAAACCAAAAGUCUUUAAACCCAUCACAUGGCUUUGGGGGACCUGAACAUUUAUUUCUGAACAGCUUGCUGUGGCAACUUGAUAAUUUUCCUUUAAUAGUUAUGUCUGUUCUUGUGCAGCUUGGCUUCCUACACCUUCUCUAAUAAAACUAUCAAUGUUUUGUGUAUAUUAAACUGCUUUAUUUUUACUUAGAGUUCCUGAAGUCACUGACAGGCAAGAUAGUGUUGUAUGCAAGGCAAUUAUUUAGGCAUUACAAGAUUAAAACACAGAAUAUAUUUCCUUGGGAAAUAAAGGUUUCAGACAGUU